GCUAAGAAUAUUCCGCAAUGGACGAAAGUCUGACGGAGCGACGCCGCGUGGAUGAUGAAGGCCGAAAGGUUGUAAAGUCCUUUUGCUGGGGAAGAAUAAGCGUGGGAGGGAAUGCCCGCGUGAUGACAUGAACCGGCGAAUAAGCCCCGGCUAACUACGUGCCAGCAGCCGCGGUAACACGUAGGGGGCAAGCGUUGUUCGGAAUUACUGGGCGUAAAGGGCAUGUAGGCGGCCUUGUAAGCUUGGCGUGAAAGUCCACGGCUUAACCGUGGUAGUGCGUUGAGAACUGCGAGGCUUGAGUGACGGAGAGGGAGCUAGAAUUCCUGGUGUAGGGGUGGAAUCUGUAGAGAUCAGGAAGAAUACCAAUGGCGAAGGCAAGCUCCUGUCCGAAGACUGACGCUGAGGUGCGAAAGUGUGGGGAUCAAACAGGAUUAGAAACCCCGGUAGUCC
Molecule: ribosomal RNA, 450 nt
Filed under: uncultured bacterium
Lineage: Bacteria
Description: partial 16S ribosomal RNA
Rfam family: Bacterial small subunit ribosomal RNA
Source: RNAcentral